Molecule: ribosomal RNA, 467 nt
Filed under: uncultured bacterium
Lineage: Bacteria
Description: bacterial SSU rRNA
Rfam family: Bacterial small subunit ribosomal RNA
Source: RNAcentral
CCAGGCUCCUACGGGAGGCAGCAGUGAGGAAUAUUGGUCAAUGGGCGAGAGCCCGAACCAGCCAAGUCGCGUGAAGGAUGACGGCCCUACGGGUUGUAAACUUCUUUUGUCAGGGAGCAAUUGGGUCCACGCGUGGGCUUAGCGAGAGUACCUGAAGAAAAAGCAUCGGCUAACUCCGUGCCAGCAGCCGCGGUAAUACGGAGGAUGCGAGCGUUAUCCGGAUUUAUUGGGUUUAAAGGGUGCGUAGGCGGGCUGUUAAACCGGGGGUAAAGGCCGGGGGCUCACCCCCGGCGAGCCGUUGAAACUGGCUGUCUUGAGAUGUCGAGAGGUAUGCGGAAUGCGCAGUGUAGCGGUGAAAUGCUUAGAUAUUGCGCAGAACUCCGAUUGCGAAGGCAGCAUACCGGCGGCGAUCUGACGCUGAGGCAUGAAAGCGUGGGUAUCGAACAGGAUUAGAUACCCCAGUAAAG